RNAcentral lists this ribosomal RNA (253 nucleotides) under uncultured bacterium. RNAcentral's name for it is "partial 16S ribosomal RNA". It matches the Rfam family "Bacterial small subunit ribosomal RNA", at positions 524 to 776 of the family's 1533-position model. The record is from RNAcentral.
UACGAGGGGGGCAAGCGUUGUUCGGAAUUAUUGGGCGUAAAGGGUGCGUAGGCGGUUUGGUAAGUCUUAUGUGAAAUCUACAGGCUCAACUUGUAGUCUGCAUGAGAAACUGCCGGGCUUGAGUAUGGGAGAGGUGAGUGGAAUUCCUGGUGUAGCGGUGAAAUGCGUAGAUAUCAGGAGGAACACCUGUGGCGAAAGCGGCUCACUGGACCAUAACUGACGCUGAUGCACGGAAGCUAGGGGAGCAAACAGG